UACGUAGGCAGCGAGCGUUGUUCGGAGUUACUGGGCGUAAAGGGUGUGUAGGCGGUUCUCUAAGUUUGGUGUGAAAUCUCCCGGCUCAACCGGGAGGGUGCGCCGAAAACUGGAGGGCUAGAGUGCGGGAAGGGAGAGUAGAAUUCCUGGUGUAGCGGUGAAAUGCGUAGAUAUCAGGAGGAAUACCGGUGGUGUAGACGGCUCUCUGGACCGCGACUGACGCUGAGACACGGAAAGCGUGGGGAGCAAACAGG
This 254-nucleotide ribosomal RNA is filed under the name uncultured bacterium. Its description in RNAcentral is "partial 16S ribosomal RNA". It matches the Rfam family "Bacterial small subunit ribosomal RNA", at positions 524 to 776 of the family's 1533-position model. The record is from RNAcentral.